AUUGAACGCUGGCGGCAGGCCUAACACAUGCAAGUCGAACGGUAACAGGAAGCAGCUUGCUGCUUUGCUGACGAGUGGCGGACGGGUGAGUAAUGUCUGGGAAACUGCCCGAUGGAGGGGGAUAACUACUGGAAACGGUAGCUAAUACCGCAUAACGUCGCAAGACCAAAGAGGGGGACCUUAGGGCCUCUUGCCAUCGGAUGUGCCCAGAUGGGAUUAGCUAGUAGGUGGGGUAACGGGUCACCUAGGCGACGAUCCCUAGCUGGUCUGAGAGGAUGACCAGCCACACUGGAACUGAGACACGGUCCAGACUCCUACGGGAGGCAGCAGUGGGGAAUAUUGCACAAUGGGCGCAAGCCUGAUGCAGCCAUGCCGCGUGUAUGAAGAAGGCCUUCGGGUUGUAAAGUACUUUCAUCGGGGAGGAAGGGAGUAAAGUUAAUACCUUUGCUCAUUGACGUUACCCGCAGAAGAAGCACCGGCUAACUCCGUG
This 490-nucleotide ribosomal RNA is filed under the name uncultured bacterium. Its description in RNAcentral is "partial 16S ribosomal RNA". It matches the Rfam family "Bacterial small subunit ribosomal RNA", at positions 30 to 507 of the family's 1533-position model. The record is from RNAcentral.